This 750-nucleotide long non-coding RNA is filed under the name Salvator merianae (Argentine black and white tegu). Its description in RNAcentral is "lncRNA (ENSSMRG00000019485.1)". The record is from RNAcentral. Lineage: Eukaryota; Metazoa; Chordata; Lepidosauria; Squamata; Teiidae.
GUCUGGCCUGCUGGGUACCGUUCNUUUUCUCGCCUGCCUUCGAAGUGAGUGCACGUGUGAGUGGACGGCUCGCUGCUGGGCAGCCUGGAGGGAGACGGAGGGCGGCUGUCUGGAUGUCGUCAGGGGCCAGCACCCGUCUGUUUCUCCGUGCAUUUCCACACCAGAAGGUUCAAUGGCAGUUGAGAUACCUGAGAAUUGGGGGAAAGCUGCAUCUUCUUUUGUCCGGACAAGNUCUGAGGACAGAAGGAUUUGGAUAAUCUCCAAGAUGAAAGCGGAAGCACCUCGAUUCAGCGCUGCAACACCAACUGGAUGAAUCAUCUCAGUUCACCCGAGGAUUCUAGCCAUGCCCAGUCCUCUCUAGGAAGUUGAGUUUCCAGCAGAAUCAGGUGCAAGGGGAGAUGAAAUUGCGCCGAAGUAGCCCGCCAAGGUGCCGUGUCCUGAACUGCAUCGCNCAUCUACCUGAGGCAAUUUGGUGUCCCCUGCACAGGACGCCGGCUUCAUUUGCAGAACUGCCGAAUUCCGGGUCAGUAUGGAAACACCGUAACUUUGCUCUGGAAAGCUUAGCAUUAGCCCUUCACCUUAUCGAUACCCUGAGUCACUUUGAUUGAGUCCUUGUACUGAAGGAAAGGAAAUUAAGAACUUCGCACACUAUUUUCCUUUGUUACCAGGGCCUGGAUCUAAAAUGUUAUUCCCUCUUCUUCUAGUCUUGUAAGCAAUAAAGUUCAAUGUUAACAAGUAAUGUUUUGGUUU